AACGAACGCUGGCGGCGUGCCUAACACAUGCAAGUCGAACGAGAAUUUUCCCUUCGGGGAAAUAGUAAAGUGGCGCAAGGGUGAGUAACACGUGAAUAAUCUGCCUACGAAUUCGGGAUAACGCGGCGAAAGCUGUGCUAAUACCGGAUAAGACCACAUCUCUUAAGGGAUGUGGCCAAAGGAACCUCAAGUUCCGUUUGUAGAUGAGUUCGCGAACCAUUAGCUUGUUGGCGGGAUAAUAGCCCACCAAGGCUACGAUGGUUAGCCGGCCUGAGAGGGUGAUCGGCCACACUGGAACUGAGACACGGUCCAGACUCCUACGGGAGGCAGCAGUGGGGAAUAUUGCGCAAUGGGCGAAAGCCUGACGCAGCAACGCCGCGUGAGGGAUG
This 389-nucleotide ribosomal RNA is filed under the name uncultured Nitrospina sp. RNAcentral's name for it is "bacterial SSU rRNA". It matches the Rfam family "Bacterial small subunit ribosomal RNA", at positions 29 to 410 of the family's 1533-position model. Lineage: Bacteria; Pseudomonadati; Nitrospinota; Nitrospinia; Nitrospinales; Nitrospinaceae. The record is from RNAcentral.